Molecule: long non-coding RNA, 307 nt
Organism: Conger conger (European conger)
Lineage: Eukaryota; Metazoa; Chordata; Actinopteri; Anguilliformes; Congridae
Exons: 3
Source: RefSeq, a predicted model, not a curated record
UUCCUCCUGAAUGACAAUUCCCACGGGCACGUUUUCAGUUUGACCAUCAUAAAACUGAGUCUACAGGACGCAGGCCUCUAUUACUGUGGAAUAGAAACAUGGGGCAGAGACUGGAUGGUAAAAGUAAAAGUGACUGUCAGUAAAGAUUACUCAAGGGAAACUGCCACAGUCCCACUGACAUUGGAUGGAAACAACGGUGUUCCAGACAGCCUUGUUGUGGUUGGUGCAGCUCUGGGUGUGUUGGCGUGUCUAAUUAUGGCUGCUCUUGUGGCCAUACUCAGAGGAACAUCAGUUUCAAAGUCACUUG